CUGCGCGGAAGAUGUAACGGGGCUAAACCAUGCACCGAAGCUGCGGCAGCGACACUGUGUGUUCGUUGGGUAGGGGAGCGUUCUGUAAGCCUGUGAAGGUGGCCUGUGAGGGUUGCUGGAGGUAUCAGAAGUGCGAAUGCUGACAUAAGUAACGAUAAAGCGGGUGAAAAGCCCGCUCGCCGGAAGACCAAGGGUUCCUGUCCAACGUUAAUCGGGGCAGGGUGAGUCGACCCCUAAGGCGAGGCCGAAAGGCGUAGUCGAUGGGAAACGGGUUAAUAUUCCCGUACUUGGUGUUACUGCGAAGGGGGGACGGAGAAGGCUAUGUUGGCCGGGCGACGGUUGUCCCGGUUUAAGCGUGUAGGCUGGUUUUCCAGGCAAAUCCGGAAAAUCAAGGCUGAGGCGUGACGACGAGGCACUACGGUGCUGAAGCAACAAAUGCCCUGCUUCCAGGAAAAGCCUCUAAGCAUCAGGUAACAUCAAAUCGUACCCCAAACCGACACAGGUGGUCAGGUAGAGAAUACCAAGGCGCUUGAGAGAACUCGGGUGAAGGAACUAGGCAAAAUGGUGCCGUAACUUCGGGAGAAGGCACGCUGACACGUAGGUGAAGUGAUUUACUCAUGGAGCUGAAGUCAGUCGAAGAUACCAGCUGGCUGCAACUGUUUAUUAAAAACACAGCACUGUGCAAACACGAAAGUGGACGUAUACGGUGUGACGCCUGCCCGGUGCCGGAAGGUUAAUUGAUGGGGUCAGCGCAAGCGAAGCUCCUGAUCGAAGCCCCGGUAAACGGCGGCCGUAACUAUAACGGUCCUAAGGUAGCGAAAUUCCUUGUCGGGUAAGUUCCGACCUGCACGAAUGGCGUAAUGAUGGCCAGGCUGUCUCCACCCGAGACUCAGUGAAAUUGAACUCGCUGUGAAGAUGCAGUGUACCCGCGGCAAGACGGAAAGACCCCGUGAACCUUUACUAUAGCUUGACACUGAACAUUGAGCCUUGAUGUGUAGGAUAGGUGGGAGGCUUUGAAGUGUGGACGCCAGUCUGCAUGGAGCCGACCUUGAAAUACCACCCUUUAAUGUUUGAUGUUCUAACGUGGACCCGUAAUCCGGGUUGCGGACAGUGUCUGGUGGGUAGUUUGACUGGGGCGGUCUCCUCCUAAAGAGUAACGGAGGAGCACGAAGGUUGGCUAAUCCUGGUCGGACAUCAGGAGGUUAGUGCAAUGGCAUAAGCCAGCUUGACUGCGAGCGUGACGGCGCGAGCAGGUGCGAAAGCAGGUCAUAGUGAUCCGGUGGUUCUGAAUGGAAGGGCCAUCGCUCAACGGAUAAAAGGUACUCCGGGGAUAACAGGCUGAUACCGCCCAAGAGUUCAUAUCGACGGCGGUGUUUGGCACCUCGAUGUCGGCUCAUCACAUCCUGGGGCUGAAGUAGGUCCCAAGGGUAUGGCUGUUCGCCAUUUAAAGUGGUACGCGAGCUGGGUUUAGAACGUCGUGAGACAGUUCGGUCCCUAUCUGCCGUGGGCGCUGGAGAACUGAGGGGGGCUGCUCCUAGUACGAGAGGACCGGAGUGGACGCAUCACUGGUGUUCGGGUUGUCAUGCCAAUGGCACUGCCCGGUAGCUAAAUGCGGAAGAGAUAAGUGCUGAAAGCAUCUAAGCACGAAACUUGCCCCGAGAUGAGUUCUCCCUGAGACUUAGAGUCUCCUGAAGGAACGUUGAAGACGACGACGUUGAUAGGCCGGGUGUGUAAGCGCAGCGAUGCGUUGAGCUAACCGGUACUAAUGAACCGUGAGGCUUAACCUUACAACGCCGAAG
RNAcentral lists this ribosomal RNA (1799 nucleotides) under Salmonella enterica subsp. enterica serovar Kentucky. RNAcentral's name for it is "bacterial LSU rRNA". It matches the Rfam family "Bacterial large subunit ribosomal RNA", at positions 1159 to 2925 of the family's 2925-position model. Lineage: Bacteria; Pseudomonadati; Pseudomonadota; Gammaproteobacteria; Enterobacterales; Enterobacteriaceae. The record is from RNAcentral.